GGCUGAAAAAUUUUGCAAAACUUUUUGGGAACUAAAGAAGGCCUUAAAAUAUCAACCACAAGAUCUGUCCGUCAAGUCUUCCUUAUCAGGCGUUUAGAGGGGUAGAACGUACAUGCACGAGUUCAUCAUGCGAGGUUGUGUGUCCCGGAUUUUCGAAAACAUGUUAGAAAUUGGAAUACCCCUUCAUCCCAAAACAAUUGCCAUUAUAGAAUUCAAAUUUUAUUCCAAAAUAUUUGAAUUUAUUUCUUGCCUUUCAAUUAUAGAUUUCCAGAC
This 273-nucleotide long non-coding RNA is filed under the name Sorghum bicolor (sorghum). RNAcentral's name for it is "long non-coding RNA (SBIC_LNC010800)". Lineage: Eukaryota; Viridiplantae; Streptophyta; Magnoliopsida; Poales; Poaceae. The record is from RNAcentral.